Long non-coding RNA from Monodelphis domestica (gray short-tailed opossum), 3033 nucleotides. The record is from Ensembl. Lineage: Eukaryota; Metazoa; Chordata; Mammalia; Didelphimorphia; Didelphidae.
AUGUCCAGAAUGAUGAGAUUAUUCAGCCAACAAUAUGUGGCUUCGGCCCUCCAUUCUGUAAGGCUGCACUUUCCUGCUCUGCACAUCGUCCACUAUAUGGAUGAUAUUCUUAUUGCGGCUGAAGGUGAAUCCCAAAUAAGCAGGUGCGACAGUCAGUUGGAAAUUACCUGGCAAAAAUACCAUUUAGCCAUCGCAGGAAAGAUUCACAAAACACGUCCUGCACUCUCUCUCUCGAGGGGCUCAGCUAUAGGCAACAGCUGUUUGACCAGCCUUUUGGUUACUUCAGGAGCCUUUACUCUAAAUAAAAGUGUCCUCAUUGUGUUCCAAACCACCCCCCAAUGCAUAUUGCUGUGAAUCCCAGAGGCUUAAUAGUACAAAUGGAUGUGACCCAUGAACGGUCCUCUGACGACGUCAAUAUAUCCACGUCACUGUGGAUACUUUCCCAGGAUUUUUAUGGGCUUCCUGCUGAUGAGGAGAAAGAACUUCUCAUGUUAUCAAUCACUGCUUAAUGACUUUUGAGAUGGCCGGUCCCCCCAGAACAUUAAAACAGAGAAUGGACCUGCUGAUACUUCCACACUUGGGCUAUUCACCUCACAGGUAUCCGUACAAUCCACAAGGACAAGCUACUGCGGAGCGCAGUAAUCAAACACUAAAAACAUUCCUUUUAAACAAAAAGGGGGAGACAGCACCCCGCAUCGACGAUUGGCAAUAGCUGUACAUACUAUCCAUAAUCUGAUCUUUGCUUCCAAUAACAUCCAGGGCUGGAAAAUGUUUCUCUGCAUUUUCCUAGGAACAGAAUUCAGGCACCGCCACUCCCGGGCUCCCUGCCUGCCCCAGAACAACAAUCUGUCAUGUGGAAAGACGAUGAUCAAUCCUGGCAAGGCCCCCACCCAGGGGUCCUGCAGGCUGGCUGUGUUGGUGUCUCCACAGGUGAAGACAGAGUUCGGCUCCCUCCUGCCGAGUUCGAGAAAUGGACCCUAAAGAGAAGGACAAGGAGAGGAUGCAGGAAGCCUCGCAAGGAGCCUCGACCACGUCUCCAUGAGAUGCUGCCUCUUCUGCUUCUGUUCCAGAACAAAAGUGCAGCUCCUGGAGUAAAGAGACGGUCUUUGGGGAACAACCCCCUUGGGUAGAGUCUGUCGGCGUGGGACACGCUUUACUGGGAGUCGUCUUCUAUAUACAAACUAACUGAUAUUCCUGGCAUUUACCAUUGGGAGAGACAAGCUAAGGACAGCAAUAGGCCAACAACUGGUUUGUGCCUUUCAACUGGACUGGACUGGUUGGGGCGCCCCAGUGGGCCUUGCACGAGACCAUCCUGCCUGCCUGCCCCUCAGAUCUCUGCAGGCGCCUUACUAUGGCCAUCCUGACCUGUCAGACUCCUUCUGGACAGGACCUUGUCGUGUAGACAAAGGGGUAAAAUAGGAAGGUCACGACCAACGGCAAUGUCUAGGUUGGCUGCGGGAACCUUGUGAUAGUACUUGGGGACCACAAAGACCUGUUUGUCCUUCUGUGAUGGGAUGUGAACAAGGAGACACCGUUAAUAUGUUUCCGCCCUCGCUGUCGUGCAGAUCUAAGAGGGCGUCACGUAUUCAUUGGACAAACAUGACCUGGGAGUCUUGGCACGACGACACAAGGCGGAUUGGACAGAAACUGGACUCUUAUACAUUUCAUGACUGUUUUAGAGGCGGAGAAGCUCGCCUUCGUGGUGAUGCUCCAGAGCUAAUCGGUGACGCUCUGCUACGUCACCCAGACGUUGACUGACUACGGACAGACAGCCCUGGCAUUGGAUAAAGAGAGUGUGUCUCCCUGUGUUACUGUCACUAAUACUGGGAACGUCCAAACACCAGUGACUAGAACUCCUACAUUGGACACUCGAGCUAGACACUCAGGGGGAUGGUAUCACCCACCGGCAGAUGGAGCAAUGGAGAAACUGUCUCAACUAAUCAGCCCAGGAAGAGAAGACGCACUUCUUGCUUAGUUUUAGGAAUUGUAGCCCUGAUAGCCGCCAUAACAGCCACAAACGGUCAGUAGUGUUUCUCUAGCACAAAGUGUAGCUCAUGUACCGACCCUGGAACAUGACGCGGCAUACUUACACGGGCUGGCGCAGAACGUAGCCCAGGCUUUGCACUCACAGCAGGAUAUUAAUACAGGGUUUUUAUGCUUUACAACAAAUAUCUAAAGAGGUAUCGUUGUUAACCAGUCAAGUAGAAAUUUUAGCUAUCAAGGGUAAAUUAAGGGGUGAUUAUCGCUAUUCAGCCUUUUGCCUCCUUCCUGUUAAAGCUAACACGUCGGAUGCAUUCGAAAAAAUUAGAAAUGAUUUACAAGGUCUUUGGUUAAAGAGUAACAUCUCAGAGGACAUCCAACAACUGAACCGUAUCAUUGAUGAGAUGGACAAGUCUUUAGCUGAGGACCUUCGCCCCGAACAUAUCGCUGAUUGGUUAUACAAUUGGAUUAAGUCAGGCCAAAGCUGGCUGUCUCCUUUAGCUCAAAUGAGUAUAACCAUAUUGACUUUCACACUGUUCAUAGUUAUCUUAGCGGUCCUUCUUCCCCGUCUGUUCCAACUCUUUUGUCCAGCUUGGGCAAAAUUGACCGGACUUUGGCCCUGCACAGAUCACUGUUGCAGAACAAAUAGGGGGAAUUGCAGUAGAGGAUUACCUCCUCUUUUUGUUAUUUGUAUUUGCUUAAGAUAAAGUUGUGGAUUUGUUUGUCUUUGCUUCAGACAAAGAUGAGGAUUAACCUUCACCCAUCCUGGGACCAAGGAUGGAACAGUAAACAAGAAGACUGCGGGAUAACAUUUAUGAAGGGCAAAUUGCGAUUGGGUGGGCGCCUAUCCCCUUGUCUGCCCCUCUUCCCCUUGUUUGGAUCUAUAGUAAAGGAAGGAUGUGGGUUAACCUUUGAACACCUGCCUAUCCCUGGACCAAGGUUAGGGUCUCUGGGAUGAAGAGUCAUCAAUUCCUGUGGGUUUUGUCUAAGUAGUCUUUGCCUAUAAAAGUUCUGGGUGAAGCAAAUAAAAUGGGCACUAUUUCUCUCUUUUCA